Molecule: transfer RNA, 61 nt
Filed under: Heterocephalus glaber (naked mole-rat)
Lineage: Eukaryota; Metazoa; Chordata; Mammalia; Rodentia; Bathyergidae
Rfam family: tRNA
About the family: Transfer RNA (tRNA) molecules are approximately 80 nucleotides in length. Their secondary structure includes four short double-helical elements and three loops (D, anti-codon, and T loops). Further hydrogen bonds mediate the characteristic L-shaped molecular structure. tRNAs have two regions of fundamental functional importance: the anti-codon, which is responsible for specific mRNA codon recognition, and the 3' end, to which the tRNAs corresponding amino acid is attached (by aminoacyl-tRNA synthetases). tRNAs cope with the degeneracy of the genetic code in two manners: having more than one tRNA (with a specific anti-codon) for a particular amino acid; and 'wobble' base-pairing, i.e. permitting non-standard base-pairing at the 3rd anti-codon position.
Source: Rfam by way of RNAcentral
UGUAGCUUAGUGGUAGAAUGCUUACCUGGUAUGUAUGAGGCCCUGGGUUCAAGCCCCAGUA